Long non-coding RNA from Cryptomeria japonica (Japanese cedar), 260 nucleotides. RefSeq lists it as uncharacterized. The record is from RefSeq and is a predicted model, not a curated record. Lineage: Eukaryota; Viridiplantae; Streptophyta; Pinopsida; Cupressales; Cupressaceae. The transcript has 3 exons.
GAACCAUAACAUGAGUCAAUUUUUUCUGAACAGAGGAUGGAUCAUACCACAUCAUUGAGGAACCGAUAGCAUGUUACCUCAAUACCUAGAGAUGUUGGUGCCCCAUUUACGGGUGCUUCAUGUAGCACUGAGGUGGGUAGUUCUUCACGUGACCCAUGGACCACUGAGGCUCAGCCUCAUAUACCACAAGCUUCUAGAUUGUUUGAUGGCGCAUCACAUGUACGCCUUCGACCAUCAGUUACUUUGUCUACAUCACAUGU